AACACGUGAGUAACCUGCCCUUGACUCUGGGAUAAGCGUUGGAAACGACGUCUAAUACCGGAUACGAGCUUCAGCCGCAUGGCUAGGAGCUGGAAAGAAUUUCGGUCAAGGAUGGACUCGCGGCCUAUCAGCUAGUUGGUGAGGUAAUGGCUCACCAAGGCGACGACGGGUAGCCGGCCUGAGAGGGUGACCGGCCACACUGGAACUGAGACACGGUCCAGACUCCUACGGGAGGCAGCAGUGGGGAAUAUUGCACAAUGGGCGAAAGCCUGAUGCAGCAACGCCGCGUGAGGGACGACGGCCUUCGGGUUGUAAACCUCUUUUAGCAGGGAAGAAGCGAAAGUGACGGUACCUGCAGAAAAAGCACCGGCUAACUACGUGCCAGCAGCCGCGGUAAUACGUAGGGUGCAAGCGUUGUCCGGAAUUAUUGGGCGUAAAGAGCUCGUAGGCGGUUUGUCGCGUCUGCUGUGAAAUCCCGAGGCUCAACCUCGGGUCUGCAGUGGGUACGGGCAGACUAGAGUGCGGUAGGGGAGAUUGGAAUUCCUGGUGUAGCGGUGGAAUGCGCAGAUAUCAGGAGGAACACCGAUGGCGAAGGCAGAUCUCUGGGCCGUAACUGACGCUGAGGAGCGAAAGGGUGGGGAGCAAACAGGCUUAGAUACCCUGGUAGUCCACCCCGUAAACGUUGGGCGCUAGAUGUGGG
This 700-nucleotide ribosomal RNA is filed under the name Plantibacter sp. A6AGE. RNAcentral describes it as "bacterial SSU rRNA". It matches the Rfam family "Bacterial small subunit ribosomal RNA", at positions 112 to 826 of the family's 1533-position model. Lineage: Bacteria; Bacillati; Actinomycetota; Actinomycetes; Micrococcales; Microbacteriaceae. The record is from RNAcentral. RNAcentral also lists the same sequence under 2 other names.